ACGCUGGCGGCAGGCUUAACACAUGCAAGUCGAACGGUAACAGGGAUUAGCUUGCUAAUUUGCUGACGAGUGGCGGACGGGUGAGUAAUGCUUGGGAAUCUGGCUUAUGGAGGGGGAUAACUACGGGAAACUGUAGCUAAUACCGCGUAAUAUCGGAAGAUUAAAGGGUGGGACUUUCGAGCCACCUGCCAUAAGAUGAGCCCAAGUGGGAUUAGGUAGUUGGUUAGGUAAAGGCUGACCAAGCCGACGAUCUCUAGCUGGUCUGAGAGGAUGACCAGCCACACUGGAACUGAGACACGGUCCAGACUCCUACGGGAGGCAGCAGUGGGGAAUAUUGCACAAUGGGGGGAACCCUGAUGCAGCCAUGCCGCGUGAAUGAAGAAGGCCUUCGGGUUGUAAAGUUCUUUCGGUGACGAGGAAGGUUGAUAGGUUAAUAGCCUAUCAAAUUGACGUUAAUCACAGAAGAAGCACCGGCUAACUCCGUGCCAGCAGCCGCGGUAAUACGGGGGGUGCGAGCGUUAAUCGGAAUAACUGGGCGUAAAGGGCACGCAGGCGGUGACUUAAGUGAGAUGUGAAAGCCCCGAGCUUAACUUGGGAAUUGCAUUUCAUACUGGGUCGCUAGAGUACUUUAGGGAGGGGUAGAAUUCCACGUGUAGCGGUGAAAUGCGUAGAGGUGUGGAGGAAUACCGAGGGCGAAGGCAGCCCCUUGGGAAUGUACUGACGCUCAUGUGCGAAAGCGUGGGGAGCAAACAGGAUUAGAUACCCUGGUAGUCCACGCUGUAAACGAUGUCGAUUUGGGGAUUGGGCUUUGAGCUUGGUGCCCGUAGCUAACGUGAUAAAUCGACCGCCUGGGGAGUACGGCCGCAAGGUUAAAACUCAAAUGAAUUGACGGGGGCCCGCACAAGCGGUGGAGC
Molecule: ribosomal RNA, 914 nt
Filed under: uncultured bacterium
Lineage: Bacteria
Description: bacterial SSU rRNA
Rfam family: Bacterial small subunit ribosomal RNA
Source: RNAcentral